This 1209-nucleotide ribosomal RNA is filed under the name metagenome. RNAcentral describes it as "bacterial SSU rRNA". It matches the Rfam family "Bacterial small subunit ribosomal RNA", at positions 276 to 1498 of the family's 1533-position model. The record is from RNAcentral.
UCGAUGUCUAGGGGUUCUGAGAGGAUGAUCCCCCACACUGGUACUGAGACACGGACCAGACUCCUACGGGAGGCAGCAGUAAGGAAUAUUGGUCAAUGGAGGAAACUCUGAACCAGCCAUGCCGCGUGCAGGAAGACGGCCCUAUGGGUUGUAAACUGCUUUUAUAUAGGAAUAAACCUCUUCUCGUGAGAAGAGCUGAAGGUACUAUACGAAUAAGGACCGGCUAACUCCGUGCCAGCAGCCGCGGUAAUACGGAGGGUCCUAGCGUUAUCCGGAUUUAUUGGGUUUAAAGGGUGCGCAGGCGGGCCUGCAAGUCAGUGGUGAAAUCCCGGGGCUCAACUCCGGAACUGCCAUUGAUACUACAGGUCUUGAGUUUGGUUGAAGUGGGCGGAAUGUAGCAUGUAGCGGUGAAAUGCAUAGAUAUGCUACAGAACACCGAUCGCGAAGGCAGCUCACUAAACCAAAACUGACGCUCAGGCACGAAAGCGUGGGUAGCGAACAGGAUUAGAUACCCUGGUAGUCCACGCCGUAAACGAUGAUUACUCGUUUUGGCAACAUAUCGUCAGUGACCAAGCGAAAGCGAUAAGUAAUCCACCUGGGGAGUACGUUCGCAAGAAUGAAACUCAAAGGAAUUGACGGGGGCCCGCACAAGCGGUGGAGCAUGUGGUUUAAUUCGAUGAUACGCGAGGAACCUUACCUGGGCUCAAAUGUAAGUUGACGUAUAGGGAAAGCUAUAUUUCUUCGGACAAUUUACAAGGUGCUGCAUGGUUGUCGUCAGCUCGUGCCGUGAGGUGUCGGGUUAAGUCCCAUAACGAGCGCAACCCCUAUUCUUAGUUGCCAUCAGGUCAUGCUGGGGACUCUAGGAAAACUGCCUACGCAAGUAGAGAGGAAGGUGGGGAUGACGUCGAAUCAGCACGGCCCUUACGUCCAGGGCUACACACGUGCUACAAUGGCCGGUACAGAGGGCAGCCACUGCGUGAGCAGGAGCGAAUCUCGAAAGCCGGUCUCAGUUCGGAUCGAAGUCUGCAACCCGACUUCGUGAAGCUGGAAUCGCUAGUAAUCGCGCAUCAGCCAUGGCGCGGUGAAUACGUUCCCGGGCCUUGUACACACCGCCCGUCAAGCCAUGGAAGCUGGGGGUACCUGAAGUCGGUAACCGAAAGGAGCUGCCUAGGGUAAAACUAGUGACUGGGGCUAAGUCGUAACAAGGUA